UGUUAUGUAAUGUAAGAAUAAUGGAGGCACAAAGGGGAAGUGUGAGCACGAGACGGAAAACAGGCAGAAAGUCAAGAAACAGACCAUAAUAACAGGAAACAUCUGCUUGCACGGAAAAUCGCAAUGUGCACAAUCAUGGAGACUAACUCUGCACGGAGAGAAGCUGCAGCCGCUGCAAAUGAACUUCUCUCACUGUCUGUUUCUUUAUAGACCCAUGAGAACCUGGAGCUCGGACCCUGCAGGCCGAAAGGGGCUCAUUCUCUGCAACCUCAUCCGAAACGUUAUGAACCUGUUGUGCUGUAACUAAUCUCUGCGUCUCUUUCCUUCCCAAGGAUCCCUCUCCUCUCAGUCACAAGCCCAGGAGUCUGGGGAUCCACUGGAUGGAGAUUUGUGUCUUUUAUCUGUUUAUUAUGUAUUUGUUCUUCUCUUCAAACCACCAGCGCCCGUCUCUCCAGCUUUUCCCAUACAGUUUCCAGAGCUGUAAGCUCACUGGGCCAGAAGUUUGGCCCGAACCAAAGGCCUGCAGUAGGGUAGAAUUUGGCCAUGCUCCAUCCGUACGGUUGUUUUUCAUACUUUUGUAAGUUGUUCACAGUCCAUGAUAAGAAGAUUAAGCAACUUGGGGAACGUAUGAGCCAUCAACAUCUCAUCCCGUGUCAUCUGGAAAGGUCUACAAUGACUAUUCGGACCCAAUGUGCAGCAAAGGAGAGGAACCAAUACGAACAAGAAAACUGGACAUUGAUUGGUUGAAAUAUUGGCUAAACAACUACACUGGGUAUUGAUUGGUUCACAUAUUUGACUGGGGAGGUUGGACUAAGGAGUGACUAUAAUAAUAGAAAUAAGAGGGGAUUGGAGAACUUGUGUACAUUGUAUUAUGUCUCUGUCCCCCAUUGAUGCUUUAAAAGGGGUUGUUCACCUUUGAGUUAACUGUUAGUACAAUGUAGAGAGUAAUAUUCUGAGACAAUUUGCAAUUGGUCCUCAUUUUUUAUAAUUUGUGGUUUUUGGGUUAUUUAGAGAAGAACCGGGUUCAUGUGACCAGCAAUAUCCUUGAAUAAAGAGAGUUUCAAAUCGCA
Molecule: long non-coding RNA, 1070 nt
Organism: Xenopus laevis (African clawed frog)
Lineage: Eukaryota; Metazoa; Chordata; Amphibia; Anura; Pipidae
Exons: 2
Source: RefSeq, a predicted model, not a curated record